RNAcentral lists this long non-coding RNA (733 nucleotides) under Homo sapiens (human). RNAcentral describes it as "HSALNT0314786". Lineage: Eukaryota; Metazoa; Chordata; Mammalia; Primates; Hominidae. The record is from RNAcentral.
CUGGUGUGAUGUGUGCCCGAGUCUCAGGCACUAUCGUGAGGGUGCAGGGCCAAGGCAGGUGAUCCUGCAUGGAGACAUUCUAGGUUCAGGGACUGCCUGUGGAUCCAUGCCAAUUGCUGUGAUCAGCCAGCCCAUCCAGGAGAGAAGCUGUGACUUCCCCAAGCACACCAAGCUGUAACUCUCUGGGUCCUGUCAUUUGGGCUGAUGAGAAAGCAGCUUCCGAGGAGAGACAUGAUUCAUCCAAAGAGACGAUUCAUGUGAGAGCCAGCUUUCAGGCCAAGUAUUGAUGGGAGACAUCUGGCUGAUUGGCCAACAGCAGGUAGAGGAAGAAGGCAAGCCCAGUGAAGACAGCAUGAGGAGAGCAUCCACCUUUUGACAUUGCACACAAGCAAGGAUGACACCAUGACCAUCUUUGAAAGGGCAGAGCUGGACUUUUGCAUAACAUUAUUCAGGUUAAUGACACCUUGGUACACAUCAGUCAAUUAAAUAAUAAAUAAAAUGUAUUGACUCUUAGUCUUCAAUAACACCUCUGAGACUUGUUAAUAAUACUUGUGGAUUGAAGAUAUAUAAACAAAAUCAAUAUUUAUUGAAAAAAUGUUCAACGUUUGAGAACUUAGAUUAACCUUGUUAAUUGAUCCUAUAAAGUGUCAAAUUUUUGACUGAUUUGUUUACUUACAUGCUUGUGAAAUUCUUUGGGAUGGAUAUUGCUUCCUAAUACAAUGUUUGUAGCACA